AAGAAGAUGCCUGAAUUUCUCACCCGGAAAAUUAGGACUGGAAAAAAUACUCUAUGUCCAAGUGAUAGUCACGUAAAAACUGCGUAGGUAUUACAUGAAAGUAGAUAAGGAAAAUAGCUUUAUUGGUAUUGCUUUGUGAAUUCUUUUUCAGGAAUGAUAUAUCCUUGGUGCUGUUUCAGCUAUUUAAAGUAAUACUGUCACUCCUCGUAAUUACUGCUGGCCUUAUAUUUAUUAUCAGUAUAGAUAUACUUCUUGGAUAAUCCUUAACCGUUUGUAUUUUUGGCAUGUCUCUUUGUGGCGGUUGUGAGUGCAUUGGCCUAAUCUGGUAUAAAGGGAGAAGGAAACACACUGGAGGAGGAUACUCCUGAUCUGCACCACAAUUCACUGCAAAGUUCUGCUCCAAGGAGUUUGGGGCAAAGACUGUACAAGCCAAGUGACUUGCGUCUGUGAGAUCAGCUGCCAAGAUUUGUAUUCACUUAAGGGGUUUUGCCAUGUAGCAAAUCCAAAGUUGGCAACCGGACAACAGCAACAACAAAAGCCACUUCCAUAGUGUUUGUCAUCACCUCAGAGCGAUUUUCUUCAGCGCUGAGAUGCUACUAUCAUAUUCCCAAUGUAAAUGGCAAGAAGCUGUUAAGUUUUCUUGAUGAAAAAUGUUGGAACGCUUUAGAAAGCAAGUUACUUCACCAUACAGUGUAACUAUAGUUGGGAAAUACGUUUUUUGCUCUGAAAUGCUUUGAGAAAGCUGUUCUGGAUUUCUUUUCUCUCUCAGGUCCUGAAGAACUACUCUGUGUGGCUACUGCUGCCAGCUACAAAAGGCAGACUUCAGUCCCAGCUGGAAUUACCAUACAGUACAGACCCUGCAGUACAGCCUAACGAUGGCUGAUGCUUUGGAUCACUUUCCCAGAGUUCAAGCUUGCUGUUGCAGAAUUUACCUUCCUAAAGCCAAGCUGAAAGGGGCAGAAAGCAGUACCAGUGCUGGUGAAGGAACUGUGAAUUUGGGGCAGAAGGUCCCAGAGGGCUGAUCACACAGUUUCCUGGUGAGCAGGAGCAGGCAGAAGUGAAGGAAGAGGAGAAGAUGAAAAUAUGCCAAAGAAAGAAGUGUCUUAACAUGUUCCCCCCAAAGAACAGUGUAAGUAUUUUCUUCACCAGAACACUCACUACCUCAGUCAGCUGUCUACUGAUGGGCAUACCUUCCUGUGUGCUAAAGAGAAAGGGAGAGGCAGAAUGGUUAAAGCCAAAGCAGUGUCUUAGCUUGGGCUGCAACUCUGCUCGCUUUGCAGCACAUCAUCAGCUUCACUCAAAUGGAACAGUCCUUCCCUGACCUAACCACAAUCUGCCCAAGGUCCCCAAAUUAUUCCCACAAGUUAUACUACAACAGCUAUGACUUGCUGGGAAAGAAUCCUACAGCAGCUAAGCACAAGGAAACGUGAUUUUGCUCUUGGACAUACAGGAAAUGCAGAAGCCAAAAGGUGGGUGGGUCUUUGCUUUGGGAACAGGAAUAUUUGAGCCAUGUAGACAGACCUGGGUACCAGUUAUUUAGGUUGUAUAAACAUAAAAUAGCUUUGUGCAGACUUGCUCAGUCACAGUAGAUUCUACUUUCUAGCUGCAUUCAUAAAGAAAACAUGGUUUUUCACUGUCUGCAAAUCAGUCCAUUGAUGUUUAACAAGUAUGCAUUUAAUUUGAUGCUUACAGUGAGCUACCAGGACUAAGCAUUUAAUUUGCAUUUGAAUUCUUUUAUACUUGACAUGCAUCUGAUUUAAUCUUAAUUUUUAUAUCUUAUUAUAUAUAUAUAAAUAUCUUAAUUUUUAUAUUUUAUGUUGUGAAAAUAGAGUGAUUUUUCUGUGUUUCUCAUACUAGUUUUAUUCUUUUGGCCAGAAAUUGGAAAGAAAUAUUUUUUAUUAUUUUUAUUAGCUGAUGAAGCAGUUGAAAUAUGCUGAGUUUUUGUUGUUUUUUUAAUUAAAACAUAGCAUUUUGAAAUGGAGUUGAUAUAGAAAAUAAAGCGUGCGAUUAAUAGAACUGUUUGCUUCUGGUCCCUCUGGGUAUAUGUAAACCUUUGUGAACUGUACAAGGAGCCUGGCUAACCUCAUUCCCUGGUAACUCAGACUGUUCUGCUUGCGCAGCCAGGGAAAAUCACAGGGUUGCUAGACCUGGG
Molecule: long non-coding RNA, 2152 nt
Organism: Gallus gallus (chicken)
Lineage: Eukaryota; Metazoa; Chordata; Aves; Galliformes; Phasianidae
Source: Ensembl